Molecule: long non-coding RNA, 345 nt
Organism: Mytilus californianus (California mussel)
Lineage: Eukaryota; Metazoa; Mollusca; Bivalvia; Mytilida; Mytilidae
Exons: 5
Source: RefSeq, a predicted model, not a curated record
UUGGUUAUGUUUCGAAGGACGGAUUCCCGUGCAUUCCUUGUUCACCUGGAAGAUGGGGCAAGAAAUGCGUGGAUACUUGUAGCUGUCAACAUAACGAGAGAUGUGAUAACGUGUAUGGAUGUGUUGAGGGGACAACUAUGUCAGGCUCUGUUGAAAGUGACAAAUGUUACAAAAAUACAAGCAAUGCAGGAACUAGAUCUUGGUUUUGUUUUAAUAAUCACGAGGAGAAAAAUGGGAUUUGUGUUGAAUGUGAAAUUGGAUAUGUUUCAAAGGACGGAUUACCGUGCAUCCAAUGCGUAGAUGGAACAUGGGGAAGAAAAUGCGGAUAUCCAUGUAACUGCCAAG